UAGGGAAUCUUCCGCAAUGGGCGAAAGCCUGACGGAGCAACGCCGCGUGAGUGAUGAAGGUCUUCGGAUCGUAAAACUCUGUUAUUAGGGAAGAACAAAUGUGUAAGUAACUAUGCACGUCUUGACGGUACCUAAUCAGAAAGCCACGGCUAACUACGUGCCAGCAGCCGCGGUAAUACGUAGGUGGCAAGCGUUAUCCGGAAUUAUUGGGCGUAAAGCGCGCGUAGGCGGUUUUUUAAGUCUGAUGUGAAAGCCCACGGCUCAACCGGGGAGGGUCAUUGGAAACUGGAAAACUUGAGUGCAGAAGAGGAAAGUGGAAUUCCAUGUGUAGCGGUGAAAUGCGCAGAGCUAUGGAGGAACACCAGUGGCGAAGGCGACUUUCUGGUCUGUAACUGACGCUGAUGUGCGAAAGCGUGGGGAUCAAACAGG
RNAcentral lists this ribosomal RNA (429 nucleotides) under Actinomycetes bacterium. Its description in RNAcentral is "Actinobacteria bacterium partial 16S ribosomal RNA". It matches the Rfam family "Bacterial small subunit ribosomal RNA", at positions 355 to 776 of the family's 1533-position model. The record is from RNAcentral. Lineage: Bacteria; Bacillati; Actinomycetota; Actinomycetes.